UACUACACCUUUAAGACGUCGACACUGCGAAUUGGGAGUGGGCAUAUGUUCGACAGUAAAAUCACAACACUUCGCAAUGGGAAAACUGUGAAGAGGACCCUCUGCGCUGACCACUAGUUAUAGAAAAGGUUUGAAAUAAUGUGCACCAAAAGGCUAUAUUGCCAUAACAACUAUGUAUGAAAAGUGAUACGGAAACCAUUAAAUGCAUGUGGGAUGAGGUUUGCGCAAUGGACGCACAAGGGUCUUGGUCUGCAUACGUCAACACAUUUUGUGACAUGUUUACGUUUUGAUUUGCCUGUAGAAUGUUGUAUUUUAAUCGUCUCUGACAUUUGACAGAAAUGUAUUCCCGAUCAGCAGGGAAAUUGUGCUGCUAAAGUGUGAAAUAUGUUUACAGUUGAUUUUCUUCAGUUUUGUUAUCUACCACAUUCUCCAUUUUAACUCCGUCUUUAGCCAGCGACAACGAUAUUUAUCUCAUCGACACAAAAAUAUCUGCCGGUAUCCUGCAUGUUGUACUGUUGUGGAAGCAAGGACAAGGAGAAGCAGCGCCCGGACGCUGCAGAGGUGUCGAGAAUUCUAGAGACAGAGACAGAGAAAAACCGAAAGAGCCAAGAAAGCGCACCUCAACCACGGGACAUGUACGGAAUAGCGGCAAUGCCCGAGCUUCUACCACCCUCUGGCGUCCUCCAGCCCAGCUCAGUAAUCCCACUCGAGUCGGGUGAGGUGCCUGGUUUGUGGAAUGGAUUCAACAGGGGUGUGCUGAGUUUUGACUCCCCCCAGCGGAGACGAGGCCAACGGGCCCCGAAGUUAGGGCAAAUAGGACGGUCGAAGAGAGUGGUUAUAGAGGAUGACGACUUGGAUGAUGUCAUGAAACACAAUGGCCUCCCCAUAUCAAUCAAUAUCUCUCCUGUUGCCUGAACAACUCUGAUAGUGUCCAGACCUCAAGAGGCUAUUGUGCUCAUUUGUGAAAUUCUGAAGUGUGUACCACUUGUUUCUGGACAAUGUCCAAUUCAGGUGCCCAUUGCAAAGUUUACAAUAGUAGCAUGCGCAUCACAUGUAGUUUAGCUCUUCCUGGACACAGGAAGGUCUGUCCCAAGGAAAUAGAAGUAAAAAAACAGUGCAUCUUUGCUUCAGCUGGUGUUGAAGGGGGGACUUUCUGUCCUGAGGAGAGGGGAGCAAUUAGGAUAGAUUUGGGUCUGGACAGGCUGAAACAUAAGCACACAAGAGAAGGCCCUACCCAUCAAGACCUGCCCCCUCAAAAUGAGUGGACCUGUUUGUUUGUUGUUGUCUUUAGUGUCUAUAUUUUAAACACUCCAUCCAAGAUGUUAUUUUAAUUUGUGUCAAUCCAACCUAUAUCUAAUUGAUAAAACAGCUACUCAUAGUGCUGGGCAGUGUUUUCACAAUAUUAUUUAUUUGACAUUAUGUACGCUUUUUCAGUGUUUCACAUAUGUUGACAACACUUAUUUUAGUUUUUGACAGUUGACAACACUGUCUCGUUUUGGUGCAAACUAAUUGUAAAAUUUGUUGUAAAACGUGUUAGAUAAACUGAAGGCUUUAAUUUGCCAUUGUAACAUGUCACAAUCAUUGUCUUAGUAUAACAUAUGUUGUACUGUAUGUUACUUUUACCCCUGAGUUGCUAGACAAGAGUUCCCACUGUGAACUAUUUAUGGAACUUUAUGUAUCCCUGCAUCAAGGUGUAAUAUACACAUUUUUUACAACCAGCUUCCUGUUAUAUUCUUCACCAUAAUGCCACAUCUGUGGCAAGUCAUGUGGCAUUCAGAUAAGUAGCCUAACUUAUGUUAAACCCAGCUAUGAAGCAGGUCGCUACAUGGAGGAGCAACUCAAGGAAAUUGGUGUAAGACUCCGAUCUGUGAGGAAUACAUUGUUUUGAUGUAACCAUUGUUUGGCUCAGUGUUAUCUCUUUGUCAAGAUUAAUAGAUGUAAAGUUAUAAAAUCUACCCCUCACUAGAGAUAUACAAGCAGGGUUUAGCUUAAAUCAAUUCACUUGUCAAGAACGUAUUUUCUAAAUCCUCCUUGAAUCUACUUGUUAGUUUUCCCCAACCCUUUUCAGUUAUCAAAUCACAUUUUAUUGUGCCAAAUACAACUUACAAGCCCUUAACCAACCAUGCAGUUUUAAGAAAAUAGAGUUAAGAAAAUAUUUAAAUUGUACCAAGCGAAUUUUGCUCUGCCCGGAGUACCCCUGACAUAUUCCUUCAUGUGCAUUAUACCAGUAGGACUAUUAUCUCAUGAGUCUUCUCAAGUACCCUCUGUCAAGUAACCCUGUUUGGGAACCACUGUUAGAAUGUGAUCCGCUGUUGUGUAAUGAUAGUAUGCACCACCAGAUAGCGAUAAAGUUAAAGGAACAUAGUCCUCAGCCCAACAUAUGUGUCUUACUCAACCCCUCAGUCUGUUAUUCAUUUGUAAUAAAACAUGUUUGUAUAGGUUCAUUUCCAAAGACUAAGUCACAAGCUCACGGUUGAAGACAAUGAGAACAUUUCAAAAAUAGUCCCUAACUCACUGAUUUGAGAGAACUUAAUGUACAUUGUUAGAUUCCCCUGCCAGUGAGCUUUAUAGCUUCAUGCAGCUCAUUCCACCCAUCCCCCAAACAUGCCAGAGAGACUAGGGGGGAGGCAGUUGUACAACAAUGCAUCUUCCACAUGUAACCCAACCCCUCUGAAUUAGAGGUGCAGAAGGCUGCCUGGGUAACAGUGGGUUAACUGCCUUGCUUAGGAGCCAAACAGAUGUUUACCUUGUCAGCUCGGGGAUUUGAUCCAGCAACCUUUUGGUUACUGGCCCAACUCUACCAGCCAGGCUACCAGACCAUGUUCGAGGGGAUCUAAACCAUUUUGCCUAGAUAAAUAAUAUAUCACAAGUAAAAUUGUGACUCACUGACCUACAAAUAAUUAUAAGUCGUUAUUUAUGAUGCAAGGUGAUUUGUAGAUCAGUCAGUUGGCAAUGGCCUGCACUGUUGGCUGCAAUGUGAAACAAGCUCCAUGAGGAUCAUAAAGACUGGGUUCCAGAGCUUAGACAUUGCUGCACCUAACAGGUCUUCAACUCCUGGUUAGGUAUUUUAAGUAUCAGCUAACCACAUCCUAGGCGUCUUCUCUGACCAGGCGUUGCGGACGCCUGCUAGAUCUUAAAACACCUGGAUAGCAAUCUCAGUCGGUGAUGUGGCACCCCAACCAUUGGUUGAUGCAUGCCAUGUCUGGGCAGUGGAACGCAACACCUAUGUUACUGCCGUGUUCAAAACAGCUGGGAACUCUGGACUUCAGUGCAUUCAAGACUACUGCAAUUUAUGUAUAAACAAGAUUUCUUGCAACAUCUGCAUAUCUGGCAUGGAAUCCCACAACAUAGACACAAUAAACCAGAACCCACAACUUGUCACCAUUUUAUUUACAGAAGACAAUCUCAAAAAGUUAAAUAUUAAAAAUGUGGCAGUAUUACAAAACUACUCUUGGGAAAAGGAGAAUACAUUUGAUCCUUUUGAAGCAUACAUAUUUCAGGUUACUAGCCAAUUUUUUAAAAAGUUGCCAAAAUGAGAGUACACCUUUACCGCUGAUAAUGGCAUUAAGUGAAUCACAGCAAAUAGUCAACAAUCUUAGUUGUGGGAGAACAGUCUCGGGCCUUCAGAAAUUACAAGUCUUGACAGAGUCACAUGUGUUGUAUAAUUCAAAAUGAUGUAUCUAGCGUAAUCAUUAUAAAUCUAGAUAUAGGCUUGCAUUUCCUGAUUGGCUCCUAAAACAGCUUGUGGUAUGGUUGGCCGUUGUAAUGUAAUACCAAAGCAUGAUGGCCCCAUCAUUACAUAGUCAUCUGGCCUGUCCAUGUAGGCUACAGUAAUAGAAAUGGGAAAAGUGAAGGGAUGUAAAAAGGUCUGAGGCCAACACGCAACAUCUGCUCUACCUUACAAGUAAACAUCAUGAGCAGUCCUCUAGAACCAUCUCUUAAUUACAUCCUUACUGAUUUAUUGUAACUGAGGGUAUA
Long non-coding RNA from Oncorhynchus nerka (sockeye salmon), 3978 nucleotides. RefSeq lists it as uncharacterized. The record is from RefSeq and is a predicted model, not a curated record. The transcript is spliced from 2 exons. NCBI's taxonomy places the organism in Eukaryota, Metazoa, Chordata, Actinopteri, Salmoniformes, Salmonidae.